RNAcentral lists this ribosomal RNA (229 nucleotides) under uncultured Alicycliphilus sp. RNAcentral describes it as "partial 16S ribosomal RNA". It matches the Rfam family "Bacterial small subunit ribosomal RNA", at positions 551 to 774 of the family's 1533-position model. Lineage: Bacteria; Pseudomonadati; Pseudomonadota; Betaproteobacteria; Burkholderiales; Comamonadaceae. The record is from RNAcentral.
AGCUGUCAUUGGGUUUAAAGCGUGCGCAGGCGGUUUUGUAAGACAGAGGUGAAAUCCCCGGGCUCAACCUGGGAACUGCCUUUGUGACUGCAAGGCUGGAGUGCGGCAGAGGGGGAUGGAAUUCCGCGUGUAGCAGUGAAAUGCGUAGAUAUGCGGAGGGACACCGAUGGCGAAGGCAAUCCCCUGGGCCUGCACUGACGCUCAUGCACGAAAGCGUGGGGAGUAAACA